RNAcentral lists this ribosomal RNA (596 nucleotides) under Tuber castellanoi. Its description in RNAcentral is "eukaryotic LSU rRNA". It matches the Rfam family "Eukaryotic large subunit ribosomal RNA", at positions 56 to 665 of the family's 3401-position model. Lineage: Eukaryota; Fungi; Ascomycota; Pezizomycetes; Pezizales; Tuberaceae. The record is from RNAcentral.
GAAAAGAAACCAACAGGGAUUGCCUCAGUAACGGCGAGUGAAGCGGCAAAAGCUCAAAUUUGAAAUCUGGCGCCCACCAGCGUCCGAGUUGUACUUUGGAGAGGCAUCUUCGUGAGGGGUCCAGCCUAUGUUCCUUGGAACAGGGCGUCACAGAGGGUGAGAAUCCCGUUCGUGGCUGGAUACCCCUUGUAGUAUGUAGUGUCUUCAAUGAGUCGAGUUGUUUGGGAAUGCAGCUCAAAAUGGGUGGUAAAUUUCAUCUAAAGCUAAAUAUUGGCGAGAGACCGAUAGCGCACAAGUAGAGUGAUCGAAAGAUGAAAAGCACUUUGAAAAUAGAGUCAAACAGUACGUGAAAUUGUUGAAAGGGAAGCGCUUGAGAUCAGAGUCAGCCUUUGACAAACAACAUUCCAUCUGGAUAGUGCACUUGUCAUUGGCUGGGCCAGCAUCAGUUGGGACGGUAGGAUAAAGGCCUUGGGAAUGUGACUCCCUUCCGGAGUGUUAUAGCCCCUGGUGUCAUGCUGCCUGUCCUGACUGUGGACCGUGCUUCGGCUUGGAUGCUGGCUUAAUGGUCUUCAGCGGCCCGUCUGGAAAAACACGGA